UGGGGAAUAUUGCACAAUGGGCGCAAGCCUGAUGCAGCCAUGCCGCGUGUAUGAAGAAGGCCUUCGGGUUGUAAAGUACUUUCAGCGGGGAGGAAGGGAGUAAAGUUAAUACCUUUUCUCAUUGACGUUACCCGCAGAAGAAGCACCGGCUAACUCCGUGCCAGCAGCCACGGUAAUACGGAGGGUGCAAGCGUUAAUCGGAAUUACUGGGCGUAAAGCGCACGCAGGCGGUUUGUUAAGUCAGAUGUGAAAUCCCCGGGCUCAACCUGGGAACUGCAUCUGAUACUGGCAAGCUUGAGUCUCGUAGAGGGGGGUAGAAUUCCAGGUGUAGCGGUGAAAUGCGUAGAGAUCUGGAGGAAUACCGGUGGCGAAGGCGGCCCCCUGGACGAAGACUGACGCUCAGGUGCGAAAGCGUGGGGAGCAAACAGG
This 429-nucleotide ribosomal RNA is filed under the name Chloroflexota bacterium. Its description in RNAcentral is "Chloroflexi bacterium partial 16S ribosomal RNA". It matches the Rfam family "Bacterial small subunit ribosomal RNA", at positions 355 to 776 of the family's 1533-position model. The record is from RNAcentral. Lineage: Bacteria; Bacillati; Chloroflexota.